UACCCGCUGAACUUAAGCAUAUUAUUAAGCGGAGGAAAAGAAACCAACUGGGAUGUCCUUAGUAACGGCGAGUGAAGAGGACUACAGUCCAGCGCUGAAUUGUAUUGUUGGCAACAGCGAUACAACAUGUAGCGUGAAGCAAGCAUCUAUUGAUACCGUUAUUGUGUGUAAGUCUCCAUGAGCGGGGCCAAGUUCCAGGGAUGGUGCAAGGCCAGUGUCGCACAUAACGAGUGUUUCAAUGCAAGCUUGUCGAGAGUCAGGUUGUUUGGGAACGCAACCUAAAGUCGGUGGUAUGCUCCAUCGAAGACUAAAUAUGGCCACGAGUCCGAUAGCGAACAAGUACCGUGAGGGAAAAUUGAAAAGCACUUUGAAGAGAGAGCGAAACAGUGCGUGAAACCGCUCAGAGGUAAGCAGAUGGACCCUCGAAGGUUGUAUAAUUGAUUUUUCAAUUAUCGCACGCCACCACUAUUGCUGGAUGUGUCCGUAGCUGGUUGUGGACACUUGAGACUGAGCUUCGGCUUACUUGAGAUGCUUGCAAUCGGUGUUACGUGAGUGACUACGGCAUCUGGUAAUAGCACCAGGGCGCUAGUUGGUAACAAGUAAGAGCGCUUGCUGGUGCAUUGUUUCAUUCUCAAGAUGUGAGUAGCAUCUUGGCUUGAGCAAUGCGCUGCAACACGUUAGUAUUAUGUUGCCGGCUAUUAAGUGCCCGGUGGCGAGUAGA
This 721-nucleotide ribosomal RNA is filed under the name Echiniscoides sp. 1 PG-2022b. RNAcentral's name for it is "partial large subunit ribosomal RNA". It matches the Rfam family "Eukaryotic large subunit ribosomal RNA", at positions 22 to 634 of the family's 3401-position model. The record is from RNAcentral. Lineage: Eukaryota; Metazoa; Tardigrada; Heterotardigrada; Echiniscoidea; Echiniscoididae.